This is a small nucleolar RNA of Medicago truncatula (barrel medic), 91 nucleotides long. It matches the Rfam family "Small nucleolar RNA snoR113". NCBI's taxonomy places the organism in Eukaryota, Viridiplantae, Streptophyta, Magnoliopsida, Fabales, Fabaceae. The record is from Rfam.
UGGCAAUGAUGAUAAAAGGCCGGUCUUACGGCUGCCAUUUACUUAUUGGUAGUAGAUUGAUUACUUUAAGGUUUAGGGUUUUCUGAGCCAG